RNAcentral lists this ribosomal RNA (395 nucleotides) under uncultured bacterium. Its description in RNAcentral is "bacterial SSU rRNA". It matches the Rfam family "Bacterial small subunit ribosomal RNA", at positions 361 to 773 of the family's 1533-position model. The record is from RNAcentral.
AUUUUCCGCAAUGGGCGAAAGCCUGACGGAGCAACGCCGCGUGAGGGAUGAAGGUUUUCGGAUCGUAAACCUCUGUCUUCGGGGACGAUAAUGACGGUACCCAAGGAGGAAGCCACGGCUAACUACGUGCCAGCAGCCGCGGUAAUACGUAGGUGGCAAGCGUUGUCCGGAAUUACUGGGCGUAAAGGGCGUGUAGGCGGCCUUUUAAGUCAGACGUGAAAUCCAUGGGCUUAACCCAUGAAUUGCGUUUGAAACUGGAAGGCUUGAGGACCGGAGAGGGUAGUGGAAUUCCCAGUGUAGCGGUGAAAUGCGUAGAUAUUGGGAGGAACACCAGUGGCGAAGGCGACUGCCUGGACGGCACCUGACGCUGAGGCGCGAAAGCUAGGGGAGCAAAC